GCGGGCGUAGUUUAGUGGUAAAAUGCGGCCUUCCCAAGGCUGAGUUGAGGGUUCGAUUCCCUUCGCCCGCUCCA
Molecule: transfer RNA, 74 nt
Filed under: Peptostreptococcaceae bacterium pGA-8
Lineage: Bacteria; Bacillati; Bacillota; Clostridia; Peptostreptococcales; Peptostreptococcaceae
Also listed under: 2 other names
Description: tRNA_Gly_CCC
Rfam family: tRNA
About the family: Transfer RNA (tRNA) molecules are approximately 80 nucleotides in length. Their secondary structure includes four short double-helical elements and three loops (D, anti-codon, and T loops). Further hydrogen bonds mediate the characteristic L-shaped molecular structure. tRNAs have two regions of fundamental functional importance: the anti-codon, which is responsible for specific mRNA codon recognition, and the 3' end, to which the tRNAs corresponding amino acid is attached (by aminoacyl-tRNA synthetases). tRNAs cope with the degeneracy of the genetic code in two manners: having more than one tRNA (with a specific anti-codon) for a particular amino acid; and 'wobble' base-pairing, i.e. permitting non-standard base-pairing at the 3rd anti-codon position.
Source: RNAcentral